CGCCGUGGCUUUGGGCUGGGCUAACUCCCCCGGCUGCACUUUGGGGUGAACGGCUGCGUAUGGUGCCCUGGAUGGCAGAGCUGAGCAGGACUCGCCUGGGUGACUCGGUCGGGCCCCGCACACGUGUUGCGAACAGCAGGUGCCUUGUCUUGCCCGGAGGUGUGUCCAGAGAUGCCAGCGCUCGCUAAGGCCUGUCGCUCUCCGGCCAGGCGGUGGGCGCCCGCGGGGAGCGGCCCGUGUUUGGUGUGUAGGACCAGGUGUGUAUAGUUUAUACCUCGCUGUGUGACUGUAAAUAGGGUUAUUUAAGCCUCAUGCUGUACAUGGGUUUUCCAAUGGAUGUGUCUGUUCUGUACACUGUCUUCGUAAAUAAAUGCAGCAAACUGAA
Pelodiscus sinensis (Chinese soft-shelled turtle) is the source of this 385-nucleotide non-coding RNA. NCBI's taxonomy places the organism in Eukaryota, Metazoa, Chordata, Testudines, Trionychidae. The record is from RefSeq and is a predicted model, not a curated record.